RNAcentral lists this ribosomal RNA (497 nucleotides) under uncultured bacterium. RNAcentral describes it as "partial 16S ribosomal RNA". It matches the Rfam family "Bacterial small subunit ribosomal RNA", at positions 28 to 507 of the family's 1533-position model. The record is from RNAcentral.
GACGAACGCUGGCGGCGUGCCUAAUACAUGCAAGUUGAGCGAUGAAGCUUGGUGCUUGCACCAAUUUGAAGAGCAGCGAACGGGUGAGUAACGCGUGGGGAAUCUGCCUUUGAGCGGGGGACAACAUUUGGAAACGAAUGCUAAUACCGCAUAACAACUUUAAACAUAAGUUUUAAGUUUGAAAGAUGCAAUUGCAUCACUCAAAGAUGAUCCCGCGUUGUAUUAGCUAGUUGGUGAGGUAAAGGCUCACCAAGGCGAUGAUACAUAGCCGACCUGAGAGGGUGGUCGGCCACGUUGGGACUGGGACACGGCCCAAACUCCUACGGGAGGCAGCAGUAGGGAAUCUUCGGCAAUGGACGAAAGUCUGACCGAGCAACGCCGCGUGAGUGAAGAAGGUUUUCGGAUCGUAAAACUCUGUUGGUAGAGAAGAACGUUGGUGAGAGUGGAAAGCUCAUCAAGUGACGGUAACUACCCAGAAAGGGACGGCUAACUACGUG